This is a long non-coding RNA of Mya arenaria, 435 nucleotides long. RefSeq lists it as uncharacterized. The transcript has 3 exons. Lineage: Eukaryota; Metazoa; Mollusca; Bivalvia; Myida; Myidae. The record is from RefSeq and is a predicted model, not a curated record.
UUAAAACUUCGUAUGAAUGUAGCGAAUAUACACACUAGCUGUUUGUGUAAAUACAUGCAAGAUGUUAUAAAAGUGUAAUUUUUCCCAGGGCCUUACAUGUAAAUGUGCCUUGGGAUAUACAGUAUUUGCCAACAUAUCUUGUGAUUCACAUUGCAAUGACUCGAACUUUAAAUUUCCGUGUGGAAUGGCAGAGACCAAUAUAAUGUCUGUAUACAACACAGACAAUGAAAGAAUAAUAUCACAGACGGACGACACAUGUACGUCGAUUGAAUGCAGUUGUCUUUCAUUCACAUACAAUAAUACUCCAUCGGACGCAUACAUAUUCAAAUGGAAAACAUGCAUGGAUAAAGAAUUUUCCUUUCAACCCCUUUGCAAUAACCAUAACUUUUCAGUUGAUACCCAAUCUGCUGUAAUUCCGAACUCUGAGUAUAAAAG